RNAcentral lists this transfer RNA (77 nucleotides) under Rhodanobacter sp. RNAcentral describes it as "tRNA-Arg". It matches the Rfam family "tRNA". From Rfam's summary of the family: Transfer RNA (tRNA) molecules are approximately 80 nucleotides in length. Their secondary structure includes four short double-helical elements and three loops (D, anti-codon, and T loops). Lineage: Bacteria; Pseudomonadati; Pseudomonadota; Gammaproteobacteria; Lysobacterales; Rhodanobacteraceae. The record is from RNAcentral.
GGCCCCGUAGCUCAGAUGGAUAGAGCGUCCCCCUCCUAAGGGGAAGGUCGCACGUUCGAAUCGUGUCGGGGCUGCCA